AUUGAACGCUGGCGGCAUGCCUUACACAUGCAAGUCGAACGGCAGCACGGGGGCAACCCUGGUGGCGAGUGGCGAACGGGUGAGUAACAUAUCGGAACAUACCCUAGAGUGGGGGAUAACGUAGCGAAAGUUACGCUAAUACCGCAUACGAUCUAAGGAUGAAAGUGGGGGAUCUUCGGACCUCAUGCUCAUGGAGUGGCCGAUAUCUGAUUAGCUAGUUGGUGAGGUAAAGGCUCACCAAGGCGACGAUCAGUAGCUGGUUUGAGAGAACGACCAGCCACACUGGAACUGAGACACGGUCCAGACUCCUACGGGAGGCAGCAGUGGGGAAUUUUGGACAAUGGGGGCAACCCCUGAUCCAGCAAUGCCGCGUGAGUGAAGAGGCCUUCGGUUGUAAGUACGUCUUUUGUUCUAGGGAAGAAAC
RNAcentral lists this ribosomal RNA (424 nucleotides) under uncultured bacterium. Its description in RNAcentral is "bacterial SSU rRNA". It matches the Rfam family "Bacterial small subunit ribosomal RNA", at positions 30 to 451 of the family's 1533-position model. The record is from RNAcentral.